GAAAUAUUUUAUCAAACUAAUGAGUGUCGAAAUGCCUCCCGAGGGGACAGGUAUUCAUCAGGAUUUUCCAAGGAUUUUAUCGCUCCGAUAAAUGACGUGAGUGGCUGGCGGUAAUGACAGGAGACACCAGCUUGAAUGGAGGGAAUUAGCGGACAGUUCCACCGUUAUAAUUAGCAUCAAGAAACACCGUAAUUAGCUAGUUGUUGCUCAAUCCACUGACGAUGUUGUAUCACAUCAACGUACACUGCUGGCACGUUGGUCUGGCCACAGCCAAUUCCCCAAGAUACGAUUCCCACCUUCAGACGUUGGACAAACUAGAGGACCCCCGCCAUCGCCAGUACAAGUGUCUUUACCGGGCUCUCCACCUGCGCAUCUGAAGCUCUUGUGGAGCUGGAAGUACGGCCCGAGCUUCGUAGCCCUCAAACGUGACUCGCAUUCCUGUUUCUCCACUAAGGACGCCAGACACCGCGUUCCGGGCAUAAAAAGCACUGCCUGUUGAGGUAGACAAAUGGGCACUACAUUAACUGCGUAAAUAACCGGAGUUGCGAGAAUUAAAACAGCAACAUCGUGAUAUAAUCCUCCAGAGUAAUAAUUAGGAUGCGUAACGAUCGAUUGUACAUCAGCUUCUUGAAACGGCGAAGGCUCGUCAUUGUUAGCUGUGUUCCAUUCGCCAAAGCGAGCCACUAAGAGUCCCGGUUGGCGACUGCGUGAAAACGGAAUUAAAUCGUCUUAAUUAUAUUGUUCAUAAUGAAUAAAGUCAAGACGAGGGGAACUCACUUUAAGACGCAAUGAGCGGCUGUCAAAACAGCCCUAGAAUUAAUCAUCGAUGCACCACAGAGGAAAACAUUGGAUCCCCCGGGCUCUCUGAUGAGCAGGGCCACCAUCCAAGGAAAUUCUGCAAAACUCGUAUUUCCAAAGGCGGCUGUGCACAUCCCUGAAAGGAACAUGCGAGUGAGUGAUUGUAGGGGAAUUUGAGAAAUUAAUUUCAUUGGGUUUUGCUGGAUAUUAAGAGAGAAAAAAUGAAACAACGAGAAACAAUUCCAGGACUGGACCUUUGCUGAAGAAGAUAGCAAUUUUUCUUUUAAAUUCCCUAUCAAUUAAAUUUAGUUAAUUAUUACCUGACGAGCACGCGGGGCCCCUGACACCACAAACAACAUUUCCAUAACUAGGCAGAGGAAGAUUAACGAUAUAUGUAGCAGAAUCUGCCGAGGGAUCACUGUUUCCUCUCCUGUUGCUGAUAAUUCCAUUCGAUCGACAGCAGACUUCAUCAGAUACCAUGCACAAUCCGAAUCGAGGGUCGAUGAUGCCAGCGCCAUCAAUAGUCACGAUAAAGUCUGGAUCACAGGUCGA
This is a long non-coding RNA of Diachasmimorpha longicaudata, 1350 nucleotides long. RefSeq lists it as uncharacterized. The record is from RefSeq and is a predicted model, not a curated record. Lineage: Eukaryota; Metazoa; Arthropoda; Insecta; Hymenoptera; Braconidae. The transcript has 4 exons.